GUGCUUGCUUCGGCAGUGCAUAUACUAAAAAAUUGGAAUGAUACAGAGAAGAUUUAGCACGACCCCUGUGCAAGAAUGACACACAAAUUCAUGAAGCAUUCCAUAUUUUU
Molecule: small nuclear RNA, 110 nt
Filed under: Microcebus murinus (gray mouse lemur)
Lineage: Eukaryota; Metazoa; Chordata; Mammalia; Primates; Cheirogaleidae
Source: RNAcentral